AUAUAUUUUUUUUUUUUUUUUUUUUUUUUUUUUUUUUUUUUUUUUUUUUUUUUUUUUUUUUUUUUUUUUUUUUUUUUUUUUUUUUUUUUUUUUUUUUUUUUUUUUUUUUUUUUUUUUUUUUUUUUUUUUUUUUUUUUUUUUUUUUUUUUUUUUGUUUUUUUUUUUUUUUUUUUUUUUUUUUUUUUUUUUUUUUUUUUUUUUGAAGAUGAGUUUCUCUCCGUAUGUCAUUGCAGUGACAGAAAUCUUGGAGAAAUCUCAGACCAGAUGCUAAGGACCAUCAUGCUGGCCUCAGGAAACACCUUACUGACGUCAUCAUUCCCACAAUCCACGUGGUGACGUCACAGACACCCCACUACCCGUGUGGCGUGACGUCAUCCAGUCACACUACGUGAGUGGUGACCGACGGCAGAUUACACAGAAGAGGCGAGGAUGCGUGGCUGCGAGCGAUGGCUAGCAGCGUCGGCGGCCUCGACUUCCCUCACGCCGAUGAUCCUGGUGGCGGCGGUGGCACUGGCCCUCCCCCUGCCCCACCUGGCUUCCCCCUCCCC
Penaeus indicus is the source of this 548-nucleotide long non-coding RNA. RefSeq lists it as uncharacterized. The transcript is spliced from 3 exons. Lineage: Eukaryota; Metazoa; Arthropoda; Malacostraca; Decapoda; Penaeidae. The record is from RefSeq and is a predicted model, not a curated record.